CAGUCGCGCGGUAAUACGGAGGGUGCAAGCGUUGCUCGGAAUUAUUGGGCGUAAAGGGUAGGUAGGUGGUCUUAUUUGUCUGGGGUGAAAGCCUUGAGCUUAACUCAAGAAGUGCCUCAGAAACGGUAAGACUAGAGUUCUGGAGAGGGUCGUGGAAUUCCCGGUGUAGCGGUGAAAUGCGUAGAGAUCGGGAGGAACACCAGAGGCGAAAGCGGCGACCUGGACAGCAACUGACACUCAACUACGAAAGCGUGGGGAGCAAACAGGAUUAGAUACCCCCGUAGUCCCUGUCUCUUAUACA
This 301-nucleotide ribosomal RNA is filed under the name uncultured bacterium. Its description in RNAcentral is "partial 16S ribosomal RNA". It matches the Rfam family "Bacterial small subunit ribosomal RNA", at positions 509 to 808 of the family's 1533-position model. The record is from RNAcentral.